GUUACCGCCUCGGCCCCCUCCCCCUUCCGGGUACCUGGAAACCUCGGGCCCGGGAGCCAAUUCCUGCCGGGGACUUGGGCCCGGGCGGCCGCGGGAAAGCCAAGGAUACUGCAUUAUAUUUAGUGUUCAUGUCUCCUUAGGCUCCUCUUGGCCAUGAUAUUUCUCAUACUUUCCCGGUUUUUGCUGGCCCCCAUGGUUUUGAGGAAUAACUGAGACAUGUCUAACAAGAUGAUGCUACAGCCGAUGUCACAAAGAUUACUGCCUGUGUUCUUCUCUAG
This is a long non-coding RNA of Leopardus geoffroyi (Geoffroy's cat), 278 nucleotides long. RefSeq lists it as uncharacterized. The transcript has 3 exons. NCBI's taxonomy places the organism in Eukaryota, Metazoa, Chordata, Mammalia, Carnivora, Felidae. The record is from RefSeq and is a predicted model, not a curated record.